This 1374-nucleotide ribosomal RNA is filed under the name Triticum aestivum (bread wheat). RNAcentral's name for it is "partial small subunit ribosomal RNA". The record is from RNAcentral. Lineage: Eukaryota; Viridiplantae; Streptophyta; Magnoliopsida; Poales; Poaceae.
AUGAGCAUGCGCGAUCUGGUGGCCGGUCGGGCCGGCUGUGCGGCGGCGGGAUCGUCCUCGUCGGCCAACCCCCUCACCGCCCUCGCCGACGCCGUGCUCGGCUCCUCCAAAUCUGAGCAGCAGAUAAAGGAACUUUCAGGAUCAGCAGUUCGCGGGAAAGCUUCUUUUGAUUCGAUGCCCAUUCCUUUAUCAACACUUCCAGGCUCCGAGGAUGAGAUCAAGCUAGGUCAGGGACCUAUUAGAAGCAUGAAGGGCACCGACUUCAUUAAUGGGUGUCAUGGAGACGCCUGUGGCGAUAAUUUUCAAGCCUCAAUCCCUUCUGUUCCUGAACACAUAGUGGUCGAGCCUCACCUUGGAGAGCCAGAGCAAGUUGAUAGCGCUACUCGCCUGCAUUUCAAGCCCAAAUUUGAAGGUCCACCAGAGAUGGCUGCUCAAGCUUUCUUGCCUCAAAGUUCAUUUGAACCAUACAGUAUACCGGAAAAUGGACCAGAAGAAUAUUCAGGAGGAAAGGAUGGAUUGCUGGAUCAUAUAGAUGGUCUUUAUGAUGAUGAAAUGAGAUCCUCUGGAAACAUAAGCACCGAAGUCGAUAGUUGGCUGUCUGCGUUUGAACAGGGAAUACAUCCUCGAGUCAUGAGCGACGACGAGCUGGCAGGUGAUGGCUGGUUGUCAUUCCUGCGGAUUGCCAUCAGCCACCUGGGUGGAUUUUCCCAACCAAGGUUUCUGGAAGAGCUGAUCACCUGUCAGGAUCAGGUUACUGGGCAUCGAGUAUGGAUCAAGCUACAGCAACGCUCUGGCUGGUCGGUUAAAUUGGAAGCUACGCGCCACCACCUCUUCGACGCCCUGCAGGACGCGGCGAUGCUGGCCGUUAUUACCAUGAGGCAGCAUUUCCCUUGCGAGUUCGGAGGCACUCCGUUUGAAGUUCUGCCUGUGGCACCUAGGCAGAGGAGCAGGCGGCUAGACGACGGUGCCGCGGUCAUCCGCGGCGGUGCUGUGGCUUCCGCUUUUAUGGGGAUCAAUCACGAUGAUGUCCAAGGUCUUCUCGCGGUCGGCUUCAUGUCCCUUUUCCAUGAGCGUUCCAAGUCUUUGCAACGUUUGAAGGAGCACGCGUUGAAGGAGCGGCUCCUGAUCACGGAGAUAGAGAAGAUGGUGGAAGAGCUCGAUGGUUCCCCAACCCAAACACAGGAGUUGGAUCGAAGAAUUGAGGAGCUAAAAAAGAUGGCCGGAGAGAUGCAUCGACUUCAUGCCCAUGCUGUCAAAGGAUGCAUCGGUUGGUUUGUGUUCGUCACAAACGAGGCGCAGCAGGAGAUGAAGCCAUCGGACGAUGGGAAUGAGGUUGCAAGCUCCCCAGCAGUAUCGGUCAGGGCCAGGCUGUGA